UACGAAGGGGGCUAGCGUUGCUCGGAAUUACUGGGCGUAAAGGGAGCGUAGGCGGACAUUUAAGUCAGAGGUGAAAUCCCGGAGCUCAACUCCGGAACUGCCUUUGAUACUGGGUGUCUUGAGUGUGAGAGAGGUAUGUGGAACUCCGAGUGUAGAGGUGAAAUUCGUAGAUAUUCGGAAGAACACCAGUGGCGAAGGCGACAUACUGGCUCAUUACUGACGCUGAGGCUCGAAAGCUAGGGUAGCGAACGGG
RNAcentral lists this ribosomal RNA (253 nucleotides) under uncultured Brevundimonas sp. Its description in RNAcentral is "partial 16S ribosomal RNA". It matches the Rfam family "Bacterial small subunit ribosomal RNA", at positions 524 to 776 of the family's 1533-position model. Lineage: Bacteria; Pseudomonadati; Pseudomonadota; Alphaproteobacteria; Caulobacterales; Caulobacteraceae. The record is from RNAcentral.